RNAcentral lists this transfer RNA (40 nucleotides) under uncultured eukaryote. RNAcentral's name for it is "partial Selenocysteine transfer RNA". The record is from RNAcentral.
AGGCGUGUGGUGCCCCCCGCCGGCUUCAGACCCGCUGUGU